RNAcentral lists this ribosomal RNA (433 nucleotides) under uncultured bacterium. RNAcentral describes it as "bacterial SSU rRNA". It matches the Rfam family "Bacterial small subunit ribosomal RNA", at positions 64 to 524 of the family's 1533-position model. The record is from RNAcentral.
GAACGAGAUCCUUCGGGGUCUAGUGGCGAACGGGUGAGUAACACGUGAGCAACCUGCCCCUGGCUCUGGGAUAGCCUCCGGAAACGGGGAUUAAUACCGGACAUGACCUGCUUCCGCAUGGGAGCGGGUGGAAAGUUUUUCGGCCAGGGAGGGGCUCGCGGCCUAUCAGCUUGUUGGGGGGGUAACGGCCCACCAAGGCGACGACGGGUAGCCGGCCUGAGAGGGCGACCGGCCACACUGGGACUGAGACACGGCCCAGACUCCUACGGGAGGCAGCAGUGGGGAAUAUUGCACAAUGGGCGGAAGCCUGAUGCAGCGACGCCGCGUGCGGGAUGAAGGCCUUCGGGUUGUAAACCGCUUUCAGCAGGGGCGAACACAGGACGGUACCUGCAGAAGAAGCGCCGGCUAACUACGUGCCAGCAGCCGCGGUAAU